This 266-nucleotide unclassified non-coding RNA is filed under the name uncultured fungus. RNAcentral describes it as "partial contains 5.8S ribosomal RNA and internal transcribed spacer 2". The stretch from base 1 to 133 matches the Rfam family "5.8S ribosomal RNA", at positions 22 to 154 of the family's 154-position model. Rfam says of the family: 5.8S ribosomal RNA (5.8S rRNA) is a component of the large subunit of the eukaryotic ribosome. It is transcribed by RNA polymerase I as part of the 45S precursor that also contains 18S and 28S rRNA. Functionally, it is thought that 5.8S rRNA may be involved in ribosome translocation. The record is from RNAcentral. Lineage: Eukaryota; Fungi.
UGGUUCGAGCAUCGAUGAAGAACGCAGCGAAAUGCGAUAAUUAAUGUGAAUUGCAGAAUCCAGUGAAUCAUCGAGUUUUUGAACGCAUAUUGCACCUUUUGGUAUUCCGAAAGGUAUGCUUGUUUGAGCGUCAUUACAUCUUCAGCCGCAGCUGGUUUUGUAUUGUCAGUGACGAUAUCAAAUUGAUUACCUUUGUUGGAGCAGUACACUACCUCCACACAUCGAUUCUCAUUCUUGACCUCAAAUCAAGCAAGAUUACCCGCUGA